AUCCCAUCAUGAAGACACUUACGAAGUAACUCCUUGAACCGCUCCCAAGCCUCAUUCAAGGACUCGUCAUCCAAUUGUUGCAAAGUUGUGAUCUUAUUCCUUAACUU
Small nucleolar RNA from Gossypium raimondii (Peruvian cotton), 107 nucleotides. It matches the Rfam family "Plant small nucleolar RNA R71". Rfam says of the family: R71 is a member of the C/D box family of snoRNAs containing the C (UGAUGA) and D (CUGA) box motifs. Multiple nearly identical copies of this snoRNA have been identified in Arabidopsis, and it is thought to function as a 2'-O-ribose methylation guide for 18S ribosomal RNA. The record is from Rfam. Lineage: Eukaryota; Viridiplantae; Streptophyta; Magnoliopsida; Malvales; Malvaceae.